AAUGAACGCUGGCGGCGCGCCUAAUACAUGCAAGUCGAGCGAGAAGACGUAGCAAUACGUUUGUAAAGCGACGAACGGGUGAGGAAUACAUGGGUAACCUACCCUCGAGUGGGGAAUAACUAGCCGAAAGGUUAGCUAAUACCGCGUACGCUCCUUGGACUUCGGUUCAGGGAGGAAAGCGAUACCGUGGGUAUCGCGCUCUUGGUUGGGCUCAUGUCCUAUCAGCUUGUUGGUGAGGAACGGCUCACCAAGGCUUCGACGGGUAGCUGGCCUGAGAGGACGAUCAGCCACACUGGCACUGCGACACGGGCCAGACUCCUACGGGAGGCAGCAAGUAAGGAAUAUUGCGCAAUGGGCGAAAGCCUGACGCAGCGACGCCGCGU
Molecule: ribosomal RNA, 383 nt
Filed under: uncultured bacterium
Lineage: Bacteria
Description: bacterial SSU rRNA
Rfam family: Bacterial small subunit ribosomal RNA
Source: RNAcentral